GGAAUAAUGUCAUGGACUUAUGACGUGAGAUAGAACAUUGAGCUACUUGUCCAAUGGCAUAUAAGUUUUUAAGAUGUAUAUUGGCUGGCACGGCAUCGAAGAUUGUGGUAAUAUGAAAAUUGGAAAGUGAUUGUACUACAAAGAAUGCAUAUCUACUGAGAAUCAUAAUUAACAUGAUUGAUUGUUGGAUGUCAAAGAGACGCCUUUAUGAGAGGAUUCCCUGGAAAUUAAAGCAGAGGACGUAUUAAGAGAGUAGGCAGUAGCCAUAGAAUCUUGGAAAUUGUAAUGCUGCAGCCAUUGUCUAGCUAAGCUCAAUUAUGUAAACCUCCUGUCAUGUAACUGGCCGCUGGAUCCGUCUGAGCAAUUCAGGAUUGUUUUUGCUUCUGAUGCCCUUCGGGG
This 399-nucleotide unclassified non-coding RNA is filed under the name Hevea brasiliensis (rubber tree). Lineage: Eukaryota; Viridiplantae; Streptophyta; Magnoliopsida; Malpighiales; Euphorbiaceae. The record is from RNAcentral.